GUACUGCUGGAGAGUCCCAAACUAGGACGAAACAGCUGUCCAGCAC
RNAcentral lists this non-coding RNA (46 nucleotides) under Trichobilharzia regenti. The record is from RNAcentral. Lineage: Eukaryota; Metazoa; Platyhelminthes; Trematoda; Strigeidida; Schistosomatidae.